Molecule: long non-coding RNA, 226 nt
Filed under: Gossypium raimondii (Peruvian cotton)
Lineage: Eukaryota; Viridiplantae; Streptophyta; Magnoliopsida; Malvales; Malvaceae
Description: long non-coding RNA (GRAI_LNC000560)
Source: RNAcentral
CUUCUUUUUCACUUUUAUUUUUCUCUUCUCCUUUUUCUUUUUCCUCACUUGUUUUAACAAUAGAAUUUUUCAGUUUGAUUUGGUCCUCAUGGACUUGUUCCGGAGUGAGCGGCACUAAGGUGACUUUCCUUCCUUGAUGCUUGAAAGAAUACCUAUUGGUACAACCAUCAUAGGUGACCUUUCAAUCCCUUUGCCAUGGUUCUCCUAGCAACAAAUGGCAAGCUUG